UACGUAGGGUGCAAGCGUUAAUCGGAAUUACUGGGCGUAAAGCGUGCGCAGGCGGUUAUAUAAGACAGAUGUGAAAUCCCCGGGCUCAACCUGGGAACUGCAUUUGUGACUGUAUAGCUAGAGUACGGCAGAGGGGGAUGGAAUUCCGCGUGUAGCAGUGAAAUGCGUAGAUAUGCGGAGGAACACCGAUGGCGAAGGCAAUCCCCUGGGCUAGUACUGACGCUCAUGCACGAAGAGCGGU
RNAcentral lists this ribosomal RNA (241 nucleotides) under uncultured bacterium. RNAcentral's name for it is "partial 16S ribosomal RNA". It matches the Rfam family "Bacterial small subunit ribosomal RNA", at positions 524 to 765 of the family's 1533-position model. The record is from RNAcentral.